RNAcentral lists this ribosomal RNA (587 nucleotides) under Allostichaster sp. AMCC 113388. RNAcentral describes it as "partial 16S ribosomal RNA". It matches the Rfam family "Bacterial large subunit ribosomal RNA", at positions 1816 to 2602 of the family's 2925-position model. Lineage: Eukaryota; Metazoa; Echinodermata; Asteroidea; Forcipulatida; Asteriidae. The record is from RNAcentral.
CGCUCUUUGCAAAAAAAUUAUAGUAUAAAGAGUUCUGCCUGCCCAGUGACGUUGUUAAACGGCCGCGGUAUCUUGACCGUGCAAAGGUAGCAUAAUCAUUUGCCUUUUAAAUGGGGGCUGGUAUGAAUGGCAAGACGGGGGUUAAGCUGUCUUUUUCUUUUAUCUUGAAAUUAAUAUUUUUGUGAAGAAGCAAAAAUUUGUUCGUAGGACGAGAAGACCCUGUCGAGCUUUAAUAUUUACAUUCUAACAAGGUGUUUUAACUUAAAAAAUCUAAUUAAAUUAAACUUAGAAAAAAAAGUUAGUUUUUACAAGAAAAAUUGGAUUAGUGUGGUUAUUUUGAUUGGGGCAAUCAUGGAGAAAACAAAUCCUCCAUUAAUAUAAGAAAAAAGAUACAACUUUGAUAAAAAAUUAAAUGACCCGGCCAAAGCGGUCGAGCAAAGGAAUAAGUUACCGCAGGGAUAACAGCGUAAUUUUUUUGGAGAGUUCAUAUUGAUAAAAAAGUUUGCGACCUCGAUGUUGGAUCGGGAUUUCCUAGAAAUGCAGCAGUUUCUAAGGGUUGGUCUGUUCGACCAUUAAAAUCCUACGUG